RNAcentral lists this ribosomal RNA (478 nucleotides) under uncultured bacterium. RNAcentral's name for it is "bacterial SSU rRNA". It matches the Rfam family "Bacterial small subunit ribosomal RNA", at positions 328 to 802 of the family's 1533-position model. The record is from RNAcentral.
AUGAAACACUCCUACGGGAGGCAGCAGUAAGGAAUAUUGGUCAAUGGAGGCAACUCUGAACCAGCCAUGCCGCGUGCAGGAAGACAGCCCUCUGGGUCGUAAACUGCUUUUAUUCGGGAAUAAACCAUAUUACGUGUAGUGUGCUGAAUGUACCGAAGGAAUAAGGAUCGGCUAACUCCGUGCCAGCAGCCGCGGUAAUACGGAGGAUCCAAGCGUUAUCCGGAUUUAUUGGGUUUAAAGGGUGCGUAGGCGGCUUAUUAAGUCAGGGGUGAAAGACGGUGGCUCAACCAUCGCAGUGCCCUUGAUACUGAUGAGCUUGAAUGAACUAGAGGUAGGCGGAAUGUGACAAGUAGCGGUGAAAUGCAUAGAUAUGUCACAGAACACCGAUUGCGAAGGCAGCUUACUAUGGUUUUAUUGACGCUGAGGCACGAAAGCGUGGGGAUCAAACAGGAUUAGAAACCCUAGUAGUCCGAAGUUC